Molecule: non-coding RNA, 322 nt
Organism: Arachis ipaensis
Lineage: Eukaryota; Viridiplantae; Streptophyta; Magnoliopsida; Fabales; Fabaceae
Source: RefSeq, a predicted model, not a curated record
AGAUCGGAUGAAUGCCGGCUCAAAAGGCAUUCAAGAAGCUGCAAUUCUGGAUGUCUUAGCGCUGGGUUAUGUGGCUGUUGGACACCUAAAAACUGUUGCUUCUCUGUUGAAUGUGUGCCUUGUAUUAACUCCAUCUUGUGAAGGCAGAGAAAGCUAGAAGAUACAUUCCAAGAGAAUUCAAAUUGGCUGAAGCUUUUGGGGAUAUUUUUGUUUGGUUAAUUUUCAAGACUGGUAAAAUCAUUCUAAAAUCUUUUGAAUUUUGAUAGGACUUGUAAAUUAUGUUAAACUUUGAAAUUAAACAGAGGCUGCAUUAAUUAUUACU